AAAAAAGGAAGUUCGGCUAAGAGCGUCACGUCCUGUGACAACGCCGAACUGACUCCCAUCCUGGGAG
This 67-nucleotide small RNA is filed under the name Alteribacillus bidgolensis. RNAcentral's name for it is "Bacillus sp. P4B(2010) Bacillaceae-1 RNA". It matches the Rfam family "Bacillaceae-1 RNA". The record is from Rfam by way of RNAcentral. Lineage: Bacteria; Bacillati; Bacillota; Bacilli; Caryophanales; Bacillaceae.